GACGAACGCUGGCGGCGUGCCUAAUACAUGCAAGUCGAGCGAAGUUUUUCUGGUGCUUGCACUAGAAAAACUUAGCGGCGAACGGGUGAGUAACACGUAAAGAACCUGCCUCAUAGACUGGGACAACUAUUGGAAACGAUAGCUAAUACCGGAUAACAGUAUUUCUCGCAUGAGAGAUAUUUAAAAGUUGGUUAUGCUAACACUAUGAGAUGGCUUUGCGGUGCAUUAGCUAGUUGGUGGGGUAAAGGCCCACCAAGGCGACGAUGCAUAGCCGACCUGAGAGGGUGAUCGGCCACACUGGGACUGAGACACAGCCCAGACUCCUACGGGAGGCAGCAGUAGGGAAUCUUCCGCAAUGGGCGAAAGCCUGACGGAGCAACGCCGCGUGAGUGAAGAAGGAUUUCGGUUCGUAAAGCUCUGUUGUUAGGGAAGAAUGGAUAUGUAGUAACUAUACAUGUACGAGACG
This 466-nucleotide ribosomal RNA is filed under the name Gemella morbillorum. RNAcentral's name for it is "bacterial SSU rRNA". It matches the Rfam family "Bacterial small subunit ribosomal RNA", at positions 28 to 478 of the family's 1533-position model. The record is from RNAcentral. Lineage: Bacteria; Bacillati; Bacillota; Bacilli; Caryophanales; Gemellaceae.